CAGUCGCCGCGGUAAUACGUAGGUGGCAAGCGUUGUCCGGAAUUAUUGGGCGUAAAGGGCUCGCAGGCGGUUUCUUAAGUCUGAUGUGAAAGCCCCCGGCUCAACCGGGGAGGGUCAUUGGAAACUGGGAAACUUGAGUGCAGAAGAGGAGAGUGGAAUUCCACGUGUAGCGGUGAAAUGCGUAGAGAUGUGGAGGAACACUAGUGGCGAAGGCGACUCUCUGGUCUGUAACUGACGCUGAGGAGCGAAAGCGUGGGGAGCGAACAGGAUUAGAUACCCCUGUAGCCCUGUCUCUUAUACA
RNAcentral lists this ribosomal RNA (301 nucleotides) under uncultured bacterium. Its description in RNAcentral is "partial 16S ribosomal RNA". It matches the Rfam family "Bacterial small subunit ribosomal RNA", at positions 509 to 809 of the family's 1533-position model. The record is from RNAcentral.